CACUGCAGGAUGGAUUUAGCAGAGGCAUGCAUUGGCUGCUUGACAUAUCCCUGGAAGAGGACACCAACUAGCUAACACAGUCAAUGACAGAUGUCUCUUUGAAUUGAUAAAAUCAUAAUCAAAUGGAUAUAAUACAGAAGUUUCAAAGAUCUGUUUUGAUGUAGCCUGAAGAUUUUGUAAUGAAUGAUCCAAAAGUUCUUCGCGGAGUUCAAAGACAG
Molecule: long non-coding RNA, 218 nt
Organism: Magallana angulata
Lineage: Eukaryota; Metazoa; Mollusca; Bivalvia; Ostreida; Ostreidae
Exons: 3
Source: RefSeq, a predicted model, not a curated record